This 119-nucleotide ribosomal RNA is filed under the name Pteropus alecto (black flying fox). The record is from RNAcentral. Lineage: Eukaryota; Metazoa; Chordata; Mammalia; Chiroptera; Pteropodidae.
GUCUGUGGCCACGUCACCCUGAAUAAGCCCGAUCCCAUCUGAUCUUGGAAGCUACCCACGGUCGGGCCUAGUUAGUACCUGGAUGGGAGACCACCUAGGAAGACCAGGUUCUGUAGGCG